GGUCACAUUAUGAUUUGGAAACAAACAAUACUAAAAUCCCAGUGGCUUAAUACACAACAGUUUAUUUAUUUGUUCUCUCAAGGUCUGCUGAGGGUACAGGCAACUUUCCAGGGCAGCUGUCUUCCAUGUGGGAGCUCAGAACCUCAGGCUAAUUCAAUCAUGUGGCAUGUCCAUAACAAGUUCUUCUGGGAUUGCUGCGGCAGUGAAGAAAAUCUGCACGGUCCUAUAGGAAGAUAUUUUUAUGGGUCAAAACUUGCCUUCCUCAUGGUGUGUCCAUGUGCUUCUUUGGUGAUUGUUUUGCUGCAUUUCUUCAAGUCUCUGGUCUUUUUUUUGAGUUCUUCCUUUAGAGCCUCUCAGAAGACAAUUUCUGGGGAUCCAGAAAUUCUUAAUGGUUCAGGUAUAGGAUUCCUUUAUGAUUAAUGCAGUCUUUGGAGACCAGAGGCUCCCCUGCUGCCAUUGUUGUUGCAAGGAAAUUCCAGAUUAGUGAUAGUCUCUACUUUAUUUCUAAAUAAGCCCCCAUAGCUAACUUCAGUUAUCUUCAUCAUUAAUAUUACCAAUGUACCAUAAUGUAGACUUGUACUGAGUGCUGAAG
This 592-nucleotide long non-coding RNA is filed under the name Vulpes vulpes (red fox). Its description in RNAcentral is "lncRNA (ENSVVUG00000000898.1)". Lineage: Eukaryota; Metazoa; Chordata; Mammalia; Carnivora; Canidae. The record is from RNAcentral.